Molecule: ribosomal RNA, 576 nt
Filed under: uncultured Jiangella sp.
Lineage: Bacteria; Bacillati; Actinomycetota; Actinomycetes; Jiangellales; Jiangellaceae
Description: bacterial SSU rRNA
Rfam family: Bacterial small subunit ribosomal RNA
Source: RNAcentral
GAUUCCUACGGGAGGCAGCAGUGGGGAAUAUUGCGCAAUGGGCGGAAGCCUGACGCAGCAACGCCGCGUGAGGGAUGACGGCCUUCGGGUUGUAAACCUCUUUCAGCUCCGACGAAGCUUUCGGGUGACUGUAGGAGCAGAAGAAGCACCGGCUAACUACGUGCCAGCAGCCGCGGUAAUACGUAGGGUGCGAGCGUAGUCCGGAAUUAUUGGGCGUAAAGGGCUCGUAGGCGGCUUGUCACGUCUGCUGUGAAAGCUCGGGGCUUAACUCCGGGUCUGCAGUGGAUACGGGCAGGCUAGAGUCCGGUAGAGGAGACUGGAAUUCCUGGUGUAGCGGUGAAAUGCGCAGAUAUCAGGAGGAACACCGGUGGCGAAGGCGGGUCUCUGGGCCGGAACUGACGCUGAGGAGCGAAAGCGUGGGUAGCGAACAGGAUUAGAUACCCUGGUAGUCCACGCCGUAAACGUUGGGCGCUAGGUGUGGGGAGCAUUCCACGUUCUCCGUGCCGCAGCUAACGCAUUAAGCGCCCCGCCUGGGGAGUACGGCCGCAAGGCUAAAACUCAAAUGAAUUGACGGGG